UACGGGGGGGGCAAGCGUUGUCCGGAAUUACUGGGCGUAAAGAGCUCGUAGGUGGUUUGUCGCGUUGUCCGUGAAAACUCACAGCUUAACUGUGGGCGUGCGGGCGAUACGGGCAGACUGGAGUACUGCAGGGGAGACUGGAAUUCCUGGUGUAGCGGUGGAAUGCGCAGAUAUCAGGAGGAACACCGGUGGCGAAGGCGGGUCUCUGGGCAGUAACUGACGCUGAGGAGCGAAAGCGUGGGGAGCGAACAGG
This 253-nucleotide ribosomal RNA is filed under the name uncultured bacterium. RNAcentral's name for it is "partial 16S ribosomal RNA". It matches the Rfam family "Bacterial small subunit ribosomal RNA", at positions 524 to 776 of the family's 1533-position model. The record is from RNAcentral.